Molecule: ribosomal RNA, 440 nt
Filed under: uncultured bacterium
Lineage: Bacteria
Description: partial 16S ribosomal RNA
Rfam family: Bacterial small subunit ribosomal RNA
Source: RNAcentral
CCUACGGGUGGCAGCAGUGGGGAAUAUUGCACAAUGGGGGAAACCCUGAUGCAGCGACGCCGCGUGAGUGAAGAAGUAAUUCGGUAUGUAAAGCUCUAUCAGCAGAGAAGUAAAUGACGGUACCUGAGUAAGAAGCCCCGGCGAACUACGUGCCAGCAGCCGCGGUAAUACGUAGGGGGCAAGCGUUAUCCGGAUUUACUGGGCGUAAAGGGAGCGUAGACGGCAGUGCAAGUCCGGAGUGAAAGGCGGGGGCUCAACCCCCGGACUGCUCUGGAAACUGUAAGGCUGGAGUGCAGGAGAGGUAAGUGGAAUUCCUAGUGUAGCGGUGAAGUGCGUAGAUAUUAGGAGGAACACCAGUGGCGAAGGCGGCUUACUGGACUGUAACUGACGUUGAGGCUCGAAAGCGUGGGGAGCAAACAGGAUUAGAUACCCGAGUAGUC